This is a non-coding RNA of Epithele typhae, 100 nucleotides long. The record is from the annotation of a RefSeq genome assembly. NCBI's taxonomy places the organism in Eukaryota, Fungi, Basidiomycota, Agaricomycetes, Polyporales, Epitheliaceae.
GGCUACCUGGCGCAAUGGUAGCGCGUUUGGCUUCGAUCGCCGGCGGCUAAAGCAAGGUCACGUGACCAAAAGGUUGCAGGUUCGAUCCCUGCGGUGGUCA